UUCCAUUUCGAUAAUCUGCAAUACCCAAUCAACUGACUGCUCCCUUUCUUGGAAACAAGACUUUGGGCAGCUCUUCUGAUUGAAGGUUGAAGUUGUGGGUAGUUUUCAGAGUGCGUCAUCAAGACAGGAACUAACACCCUUGUAAGUACUCCCAAAACUUGUUCACAAACUCAUCUGGUGUAGCAGAAACGGCCCUGACCUUUUUUGCAGUGAGAUGAGAAAAACACUACGAGGAAGGAAAUUAGGUAAGUUUAUACCUUUAGCUUCCUCCAGGAUGCUAAUCUCUUCCACCAAGAAGGUCUGCUUUUGUUCACUUUGGAUAGAGAUGGACUGCAAAUUCUCAGAGUAAGCGCUCAGCAUCUCUGCCAGUCUAGCAGUACAAUGCAUUUCCUUUUCAUCUGGAUACUCAUCGAAUUCCCUCUGAUAAAUAUUUUCCUCAGGGACUCUUUGGCAGAAGAUAUGAUACGCAUAAAAGCAGUGACUGCUUCAGGAACCGAUUUCAACUGUAGUGGCAACUUGUUCAGCUCUGCAACACUUGCAGUUAGCUUGUCAUUGAUCUUUCUCACAAUAUCUGGCAAGCAUUUUGAAAUUAUGGUUGCCUGAAUUUGCACCAGUUUCUGGGCUAAAACAGGAAUGCCAACGAUAGACUUGUGGAUCUUGGACAGCAACGGAUGUGUUUCAAAAAGCAUAGCUUCUACAGCUCGAGCUUCCUCGUAUGAUUCAUCGCCAAUUCGAUUUCUCACACAGACGUAUCAAGUCCAAUAUUCACAUCAUCAGCCGUUACCUUCUCGAGCAAGCCUUCAGGGGAUUUGUCGGCCUUUGUGACAACUGCCAGAGUUCUUUCGCCUGUUUUGUCGACUUUUUGGGACAUCCGAAUUGAUUCACAAGUCGAAAAAUCAACAGUAGCUGAUAAAACAUUGAGUAUUAUGCUUUCUUCUGGCUUGAUAUACUCCAUGAUAAUUGCCGAUAUUUGCUCGUAGAUGUCUUCCGGCUGCCCAUGAACUGGAACUCUAGUAAUCCCAGGUAAAUCUACCAUAGUAAGAUCAGGGACACCAUUUUUUUUAACAGUCAAAGUCAAGGGAACAUUUGAUAUUCCCUUACUUUUGCCAGCAAUCUCAUCAGUUGCAACCCUGAUGGCCUCAGCAAUAUGGACCUCAUCGGUUGGAACAAUUGUUCCGUUGAACUCCAAGCUCAGCUCUGGCACGGGACUGGGAUGACUUUGCAGCCUCAUAAUCAAGGAACCCUUGUGCAUAUCCCUUGUCCCCUAGGCAGGCUAAUUCCAGCCAAGGACUCUAGAACGCUGGACUUACCUGAAGAUUGAUCUCCAACAACAACAAUUGUUGGAAGCUGGAUUCCUUCUUGCAUGACUUUAAGGUUUCGUAGCCUGUCUACGCAGUCCAGUAAUGGCCUAAUGCGUUCAUUAUAGGAUGAUACGAUGGGGGCUUGGAUUGCUAGUGGAUCUAUAUGAUCAUGAGCAGCUUCAAUGAGGGCUUUGGUGAUUUCUUCAGAAACAAAAUCGGAGUCAUUGAUUACUGCACCCAUGUUUCUUGUGGCCGUUGGUAUUCAGAGUUUCUACUAUAAUGUCGCAGGUAAGGAUAUCGGGAACUCGGGAGGGAGAAAGGUGAUGAUAGAGCAAGAGAUUUUCAGGUUUGGUGACAGCAAAUGUGGAUUUGUGGAUGAAUUUAUAGGUGAUUUCUGAUCUGAUGUUGAUCUCAGCACUCUCUCUUUUCUCGCAUACUUCUUUUUCUUUUCCUUUUGGUACUGCUUUUGUUGGGACAACAGCAUAGUUGCACGAAAUUUACUUGCCCUGCACUAAUGCUAGAAAUUGGAUAUGAACAAACACAAACAUUUCAUUCUGCUUUUCCUCUGAAAACUAAUCGUGUUCUAUGCUGUAAUUAUUUUGCAAAGUUUGCAAAACGAUUGAUAAAAUUUUUAGAGUACUAAUGGCAACACGCUGUAUAAUUGUGUAAAUUGGUUUUUAUUCGGCAACUGUACAUUAAACAAAUUCUUGUCUUUAAUUUCUAGGGCUAAAUGCAAACAAGAGGAUGCAUAGAAUCAUAUACAAUCUUGCAUAGAACAAUAAUUGCAUGCAUAUAUUAUAGGUAAGCCUUUAGAUUUGUUCCACUCAAAUAUUUUAUAUGUGAUCCUUCUAGUUACUUAAUUAGAGGGCAUAGAUUCUUGUGCUAUCUUUUGAAGUGGUUCGAUUACAAAAUGCAAAUGGCUAGCUCAUGGUCCUUGAUUUACAAAGUGGAAUCUGACGCUUGACUUCCUUUUCUCCUGUCCCUUGUCAUCAGAAAAGCAAAUCCAUCGCUCAAGAAGGAAAAUUAGCUAGAACCCUUCAAUGAUCGUCAAUUAAUUAGUGUUUAAAGAUGUAAUUACUAGUUAUUACAUCAGAAUCAUAUUAUCCGAAGACUUCCAAGGUAAAAUUGCUUAUUUUACUUCAAGUUUAGGUCAUCCUCGUGCUUCACCAUUACGCAAGGGAUCCUCUGCAUCAUGGGAUCAUCCACUAAUGAAGUGUACUGUUGUUUGUUUUGGUGGAAACACAGAAGUGGGAUCAAUUUGUCUGAUCCAUCUCCUUCUUUCAGAACAGAAGCAGGAUCAAUAGCUUAAGAAUUAAGAAAACCCACGACGAAGGAAAGAUUUCGAUCGUACAUAGGUUGGUAAACAUGGCUGGCACGAAAAAGCGAUACAGUAUAUAAAAUUUGACUUCAAAAGCUUGCCCCGCUCUUUCGCCCCACCAUCCAAGGUAGCUAUAACACCUUUUAGGGGGGAAAUUAAUGACAGAAGGAAAAGAUGAAAGGAAAAUUGAACUUCCAAAUGCAACUAUUGUUAAGGGUUAGAGGCACUAAGCACCCUAACUUUGGAGAUAUUUUCACAUUUUUCUUUAACGUUAUUUUUGUUGUAUGUGCCCCUUCUAUUAAGUCACGUCAACUUUUAUCAUUAUUAAAAGGAAAAAGGUCAAAAGUUUCAAUCUUGCCCUUAUCUCCAUUUCCCUUCAUUUUUCUUUUACUUGUCUAAGUUUCUCAUUUCACACCUUUUUCGUAGGUGCAAUUUUUUUUUUUUGGAAAAUUAAGAAUAUGUUUCCAAAAUAUUCCACUUCUAUUUUUUUUUUUUAAAUCUACCAAUAUUAAGCAAACACAAAACUUUGCUAUUGUUAAAAAUAUUGCUCAUUGAUUAUGAACAUCAAUCAAUGGAGGUAAGAUACAAUUGUGGUAAGAUAUCUCUCAAAUACGGGUUAGUGAAAAUAUAAAAAUUUCGACUAAAAAUUUUCUUGUUAAAAUUACAUAGCAUUAUAUUUUUGUAUCUAUUUUAUGAUUUUAUUUUAAAUUUUACGACAGAUUUCAAUGGCAUGUAAUUUUUUAAAAAAGGGGUUGGAACUCGUUUUAAGGACAUUCUACCGAAACAAAAGGAUCGGAUCUUUUUUUCAAGCGUUGUUGUUUCUACACUAAUUUUUACUUUGAAAUCAUUAUUGUCUUUUUUGAUAAACUGUUACUGUUGACCAUUAGUUAAAGGGAGAAAUUACAAUAAAAACAUCCUUAGAGAAAAAAGUGCAAAUGGCAACAAACCUUAGGAGGUUAAGUGCCUGUAACCCUAAGAUUAAUUCUAGUGUUUGAUACUGCUUUGUGACUGCGAACUUGCUACUAUGGAGUUUGCUUUUGUCGAAAUGGGAAGGAAAUUGGAGGGCUAAGUUUUGUUCUGAACUAGACACAAAGUUCUUUAAUUACAUUUUUUUUAACCUUUUACUUCUCUGCAGAUCCUUCUCACUCCCAACUAUCAAUAUUCUUUAAUACUCCCUCCCUUUUUUUAUAACUAACGUUUAAAAAAUUUGCUCUAGUGUACUUUUAUCUGUCGUUUUAUUAUCCAUACAGUAUACAGUAUUAAUUAUUUUUUCACAAUUUUACCCUUUUAUCUCUCUUUUCCAAUACAGGGUUCUUAAUUACUACUCCUAAUAAUAGUUUGGUGAGAGUUAGUUUGCAUUGCUUUUGGCCUAGUAAAACAAUACCAUUUAGUACUCGAGUGAGAGAAAAUAUGGGUGAAUUGGAUAAUUAAUGAGGGUACAAAAGGAAAGUAGUGUACAGAUUCAAGCAAUGAAAAACUUUUCUUAAUUGGUGUGUAAAACCUUAAAUGUCAGUUAUAAAAAAAGGGAGAGAGUAACACAGUAGUAACAUACUUUCACUUUUACGUGUCUAUGACUAUAACUCUUCUGUUUUUGGACCAUAUUUCUAUGAUUAAAUGGAGUAACGGUUUAUGCCCCCUCAUAAAAAUUUCGAGACUGUCUUCCCAAGUCUUCCUUUAUGGUCAUCUUCUUAUUCUUGAAUUUUCACUCGCAUUAUUAUUUUCUCGUCGCUUGUUUCCCAAGUCUUUCCUUUGUCGUCGUCUUCUUUUCUUUUUCACAUCGUUUCCUUUCAGCUCUUGUCAGUAAUGUGUAAUCGCCAAUGAGAAUUGUUACCUUGGAGAGCAAGUGUCAAAAAAUAAGGAAAGAAAUAUCUUCAAAUCUUGUGAUUACGACUUUAAUAGCAUGGUACUAUAUCUGGUGGUUUUUCUCGUUUGAAUUAACUCGGAAAAAGAAAAUUAUUGACUCGUUAACUUCAUGGCUAGUCCAGUCAAGCACGGACAAAUUUACAGAUCUUUGGGCAAACUUUGGCAUUCUUGAUUGGAUUGAAGUUUUUUUGCAGAAAAGCUUUUACGUGAUCGCAUUUCUCAAAUACCCUUUUAUUUCACAUAUAUAAAAUUGUUAUAGUAUAUAUUUUUAUAAAAAAUACAUUUAUGUAUAUAAAAAGACAAUCCAAACGAGUACUUGCGUAGACUAAUUGUCUAACUUCCUCAAAUUUGUGUGUACUUGAUUGGCGGAUUUGUUAUUGUAUCAAAAGAUUGGAUGAACACAAUUACGAAGUGUAUGGAAACAAAGCUCACGGUCAAGGACAAAAUAAUCAGUUAAUUGCAAUGAAAGUAUAGACGACUCCUCCUUCAAGACACAACAAUAAUAUUCCCUUGAGUCCUACCCUUUGUAUAAAUAGGCCGCAAACAAUUCCAACUACUGUGCGAGCAGUUCGAGCCUUACUCGUAAUAUCAAGCUCGAGUUGACCAAAUCGAACUCGAGUUCAAAGUUUGAGUUCAAGAUACUCAAUUCAUUUGCUCACGAGUUGACUCGAAUAUAUACAUAUAUGGUGUGUAUAUAUAUAUUAUUUAAUAGUAAAAUUACGUAUAUAUCCUUAAUAUUUUAUUAUUUGUUAAAAAAUUAUUAUUUUAUUCAUUUAUUGAAAAAUAAAAUAAUAAUUAUUUUUUAUUUUUUUUAACUUGAACUCAAACUUUACAUUGAGAGCUCGUCGAGUUUGAGUUUAAUAAAACUAAGUCGAGAUUGAAUUGAUUAGACCAAAAUUCUAUUUGACUCGGCUCAACUUGUUUGUAUUGUAGAUAAGUUGAUAAAACCAGUCAUUAGAUAGUCAAAUAAGUUGUAAAAGAUUGUUCACUGUGUAAUAGUUCAAGAAUGCCUCGCAAUCAGAAACAAAUAGAAUUAUUUAUGUUUCAACCCUUUUUUUAACUGGCUUCUGAUACAAAACUACAAAUGGAAGUUAUUGAGAGCAAAAGAAUGAGAAUGGGGGAACCCUCCAUUAACUUAAACAACGGCCUUUUGGACCGUUGGCCACACAAAGGCUUCUCAUUCUUUCUGAAAUGGGAGGUCAAGGUUUGAACUUACUUCCAUUAUUUGUCACUUUAUGUGACUUCCCAAAUUCAGUCGGUGGACUAUGUUUAUAUGUACGUCGAUUCGACUCCUGCUCCAGUUAAAAGCAUCCAAUCCGACCAGAGGUGUAUUUACUUCGAGACAUUUGUAAAUUGGAAACUUUGGAAGACUGGGACAAUCGGCACACGGGAAACUUGAAGUCCUCCGUCCUCAACGAACAGGAGAGUUCAAUCCGGAACCUUAUGAUCAUCUAAUCAAUGCUCCUAAGCCUGUCCGGUUAACAAAGUUCUCUCAGAAAGAAAGAAAAUUCAUCAUAACAAACUGGAUUGGGCUCCUCUCCGUACUCAUUCCUUCUGUUUUUCCUUAUCCAUCGUUUGGUAGUACGCAGAAAUAUCCAAAAUUAACAAGUUUUUCUAGCCAAAAUGUUAACGACUCACAAGAAUCUGCAGCAAUUUCCUUGAUUGUCAAUUAACCUUGACGACAAUAAAGAUGUGAAUUAAUGACUUGCAAGAAUCUGCAGCAAUUUCCUGAAUUGCAAUUUAACCUUGAUGACAGCAGUGAUAACAUGUCACGUCAAACUAAAGCAGCGUACAACAGUAAGCAUUGAGAUCCUCUACCGUCACAGUAGUAAAUGCAAAGUGCAGUUAAAGGUAGGAAAUGGGGUAUUUUGAAAUUGAAUGGAGGAGAUUAAAUGUAAAACGCUAAUUUUAAUGUGUCAAAAAAGUUUAUUGCGUCAUUUUACUUUAUUGUAUUAUCGUCCGUAUUUGUUGUGUUAGUAUCUACAUCAAUUAUGUCAUUAUUGUCUAUACUGUAUUGGUAGUCAAUACGAAUGACAGCACAAUCCCCUGAUGGCAAUAGUACAGAGUGUAUUCAAUUUCAAAAACCAGCUUGAAUAUCAGCCAAUAUUCAUGAAUGUGUAUCAGCUUGUAUAGCAUAAAAACUUGCAGUAACCAGCUAAACAUUCAUGAAUUUAAAAAAAGAAUGAAGAAAAAAGAACAAAACAAACAAGAGGGCUCCCAUUGCAAUCGAAAACAUGACCGGAAAAGGCAUAAAGAAGGAAUGAAUCAGGAAAAAGAAGAAUGAGUGAUAGCAGUAUUUGCUGAUCAGAUGGCUAUAAUGCUCCUUGCAGUCCUACCUGAAAAAAGUGCAUCAAGCAGAAUUGAACUUAUAAUAGUAGUUAUCAGUUACUGGUCUGCGGCUGAUGAAAGUAGACAAGAUUUUAUGAGAGGGGCAGGGAACCCCUUAUCAGCUAUGACACGGGUUGGAAUAGGACUGAAUGGGAAGUUGCGGACAAACAGAUCCAGUCACAUUUAGUUCCUUGUAGUAUGGUUUAGCUAGAAAAGCCCGUCUGCAUAUACCGUAAAAGCUUUUUUAAUGCUAGCACGAAUGCUCCGCUCCACUCAAGUUUUAUUGGUAACACAAAAUAGCAAAUUUAAAAAAAAAAAAAAAACAACAAAGCAAUAGUACUUUUACGAUUUUUCAAAUGGCGAAGUAAACAAAGGGUAUUAUGACCAAUCAAUCAGCAUAAGCAGCAAUUUUGUCCAUUAUCUCUGCAACAAUCUCUUUAGACUCCCUCAGCAACUUGAUGCUUCCAUUCAAUCUGUAACGUUUACCAGCAAUAGGUGGAGAUUCCUCCAGCAUCCGUUCCAAUGCACCCCGUGAGUUCCCAUUAACUCAUUCACCAUUUCGGUUUCCAUGUCUUUGUUCACCAGAUUUUGGAUGCUGAAGAGUAAAUGCAAAGCCAUGCUAUCAACCAACCUCCUCAGGACAAUCUUCCAAUAAGCAGUCAUCCUCAUUUUCAGAUCAAAAGCUUCUUGUGCAACGACCAGAUGAUUUCUCAGAUGCCCGACUUCAACCUCACCAAUUCCAUUAAUCUCUAGAGUUGUUGAUUUCGUACAAUCAUUACAACGAUCAUUGAUAAUGUCCAUGAACCUGUCCUGGCUUUCCAUCAGAUCAUGCCAGGUUGCAGAGUACUCAGGAUUACAAGUAUAAUCGGUGAGUUUCUCCAUUUCGAUGAUCUGCGAUACCCAAUCAGCUGACUGCUCCCUUUUUUUGGAAACAAGAUUUUGGGCUGCUCUUCUGAUUGAAGGUUGAAGUUGUGGGUAGUUGUCAGAGUGCUUCAUCAAGACAGGAACUAACACCCCUUGUAAAUACUCCCAAAACUUGUUCACAAUCCAGCGGGUGUAGCGGAAAUGGCCAUGACCAUUUUUUGUAGUGAAGUGCGAAAUGCUUUGCGAGGAAGGAAAUUAGGUAAGCUUAUACCUUUUGCUCCUCCAGGAUGCUAAUCUCUUCCUCCAAGAAGGCCUGCUUUUGUUCAACUUUGAUAGAGAUUAACUGCAAAUCCUCAUAGUAAUCGCUCAGCAUCUCUGCCAGUCUAGCAGUACAAUGCAUUUCCUUUUCAUCUGGAUACUCAUCGAAUUCCCCUCUGAUAAAUAUUUUCCUCAGGGACUCUUUGGCUGAAGAAAUGAUGCGCAUAAAAGCAGUGACUGCUUCAGGAACCGAUUUCAACUGUUGUGGCAACUUGUUCAGCUCUGCAACACUUGUACUUAGCUUGUCAUUGAUCUUUCUCACAAUAUCUGGCAAGCAUUUUGAAAUUAUAGUUGCCUGAAUUUGCACCAGUUUCUGGGCUAAAACAGGAAUGCCAACCAUAGACUUGUGGAUCUUGGACAGCAACGGAUGUGUUUCGAAAAGCGUAGCUUCUACAGCUUGAGCUUCCUCGUAUGAUUCAUCACCAAUUCGAUUUCUCACACAGACGUAUCCAAGUCCAAUAUUCACAUCAUCAGCCAUUACCUUCUCGAGCAAGCCUUCAGGGGAUUUGUCUGCCUUGGUGACAACUGCCAGAGUUCUUUCGCCCAUUUUGUCGAAUUUUUGGGACAUCCGAAUUGAUUCACAAGUUGAAAAAUCAACAGUAGCUGAUAAAACAUUGAGUAUUAUGCUUUCUUCUGGUUUAAUAUACUCCAUAAUGAUUGCUGAUAUUUGCUCAUAGAUGUCUUCAGGCUGCCCGUGAACUGGAACUCUAGUAAUCCCAGGUAAAUCCACCAUAGUAAGAUCAGGGACCCCAUUCUUCUUAACAAUCAAAGUCAGGGGAACCUUUGAUAUUCCCUUGCUUCUGCCGGCAAUCUCAUCAGUUGCAACGCUGAUGGCCUCAGCAAUAUGGUCCUCAUUGGUUGGAACAACUCUUCCGUUGAACUCCAAGCUCAGCUCUGGCUCGGGACUGGGAUGACUUUGCAGCCUCAUAAUCAAGGGAACCCUUGUGCAUAUCCCUUGUCCCCUAGGCAAGCUAAUUCCAGCCAAGGACUCUAGAACGCUGGACUUACCUGAAGAUUGAUCUCCUACAACAACAAUUGUUGGAAGCUGGAUUCCUUCUUGCAUGACUUUAAGGUUUCGUAGCCUGUCUAUGCAGUCCAGCAAUGGCCUAAUGCGUUCAUUGUAGGAUGACACGAUGGGGGCUUGGAUUGCUUGCAUUUCUUCUUGAUCAUGAACAGCUUGAACGAGGUCUUUGGUGAUUCCUUCAGAAACAACAUUGGAGCCGUCUCUUAGUACACUCAUGUUUAAUUUGUCGUGGUUGUUGGUUUUGAGUGUUUCUAUUAUAUUGUCGUAGGUAAAAAGAUUGGGAACUUGGAAGGGAGAAAGGAGAUGAAAGAGCAAGAGAUUUUCAGGUUUGGUGAAAGCAAAUUUGGAUUUGUGAUAAUUUAUAGGUGAUUUUUAUGUCGAUCUCAAUACCAUCUCUUUUCUUGGAAGAAAUAAGGUGUUCCAAGAAUUGAGAUAGAAAUACGAAAUCUAUGAAAAAGUUAAAUGAUCAACCAAGCAAAACAAUAGCAUCUUUUGAAGUAGUUAACUCCAAGGUAAAUCAGCACAGAUUCCUUAACUCGCUCUGCAGAGUGGAAAGCUGAUGCUUGACUUGCUUUUCUCUCCUUUGCCAACUGGAAAGUAAAGUUCAUCGAAAAUCAGCUAUAACCCUUCGAUUGAUCAGCAGACUAAUUAGCGGUGUAAGAUAGAAUUACUUUGUUACACCAAAAUAAAUCGUGACAAUCAAAAGACUUGGGAGGUCAUUAAAUUGCUCUUUUCCUUCAACUUUACGUCAUACUUGUGCUUCACCAUUGGCGUCAUGUUAUGACCUGAUUCCGGAAUGAAGAAAGGAAUUGACGUGGGGUUUAGGAAAGAGAGAAAAUUUAGAAAUUAGGGAGAAUGAGAAGAGCUUAUUGAUUUCAUCUUCCAGAAUGAAUCAGUAGUACACGGGAGUAGCUUAUUUAUCGAGCUUCAAGUCACUUCUUGUAACAGAAUAACUACUUGCUACUACUAGCGUGUUAAGCUGUAACUUCGCUAACUACUUCUAGCACGUGGCUGUGACAUGAGGAUACAGCAAAAAUAUAGCAUUAUUGGAUUAAUUAUACAAGGCAUAACAUUGCUCCCCCUUAAGAAUCCGAGUCCCUAGGAUUAAAAUCUGGAAAUUGUCCCUUGAGCACAAUCCAAUCUUACCACGUUGCUUCUGCAGGAGACAUGUUCACCCAAUCCGCAGUACUUGAGUGACUGCAGAAUUUCCUCUCUUUAUCAUUCUUCUAUCCAAGGUGGCUUGAGGCCACUUUCACAGUGCCAUCAUCUAUAACUUGAGGCAAACUACCACUCACGGAUACACCCUUAGCAACUUUUUUAACAUAGAUACAUGGAAUACAGGAUGAAUGGGAGCAUCUGCUGGUAACUCCAGUUUAUAAGCUCCAACCUUCUGUAAAAUUUUAGAAGGUCCAUAGUUUUGGAUGAAAGCUUCAGAUUUCUUCUAAGUGCUAUAGAGCUUUGUCUGUAUGGUUGAAGCUUCAAGUACACCCCAUCUCCUACUUCAAAACUUCUCUUAUCUGCAUUCUGCUUCAUCUAUUCUGAGCUACCUCUAGAUUUUCUUUCAACAAUCUAUCCCAAUCUUGUCUUCCCUUCACCCAAUUUGUAGCUAUUGAGGAGUUUUCCGCAGAUGGCAACAAGCUAAUUUGAGGGGAGGAUAACCAUAAAGAGCCAUGAAAGGAGUCAUCUAUAAAGCCGAGUGGUAAUUGGUGUUAUACCACCACUCAGCUGCAGUCAACCUCUGUCUCCAUUUGGUGGUUGCUGGAAGGUCAUGCAUCUUAGAUAGGUCUCUAAGCACCUAUUCAAUCUUUCUAUCUACCCGUCAGACUGUGGAUGGUAAGUAGAUGGUAGGUAUAACUCGGUACCCACCUUUUAAGAAUAAGUCCUGCCAAAAAGCACUAGUAAAAACCUUGUCUCUAUCUGAGACUAUGCUAAGAGGUAGGCCAUGUAGUUUGUAAACAUGAUUAAAGAACAACUGAGCUACAUCUUGAGCUGUGUAAUUGCUGGUAGGGAUAUGAAAUGUCCAUAUUUGGUGAAUCUGUCAAUGACCGCCAUAAUGGUAUCAUGCCCCUUAGAUUUGGGAGCCCUUCUAUAAAAUCCAUGGAGAUAUGCUGCCACGCUUGUUUAGGUAUUAGUAAGGGUUGUAGUAGUCCCAGAUAUUUUCCUAAUUCUGCUUUACUCUUUUUACAAGUGUCACAGCCUGCACCAUUUGUUCCACAUCUCUUUUCAUUCCCAGCCAGUAAAAAUACAGCUUCAUUCUAUGAUAGGUACCACUAUUACCGAAAUGACCACCAACUAGAGAAUCAUGCAUGCAUUCCAUCAGCUUCCUUCUCAAAUCAGUAGCAUCCCCCACAAAAAUUCUACCCUUGAACCUGAUGAUACCAUGGUCAUAAGUAUAAUCUGUAAGAGAGUCUCCAUUAGUGGACAGAUUUCAACAAUUCCUUAGCUUUAGCAUCUCCAUUGUCGCUUUGAGUAACUUCCUGGAGCCAUGCAGGCGUCACUAUUGAUAUUGCAUUCAAUUCAUUUUGCUCAUUUUCACCCCUUCUGGACAAGGCAUCAGCAACAAUAGUGUCCCUUCCUUUCUUGUAUUGAAUCUCAUAAUCCAUUCCCAUCAGUUUAGAGAGCCAUUUUUGUUGUAAGGGAGUAGUGAUUCUCUGGUCUAGCAGAUACUUGAGACUUUCAUGGUCAGUCUUAAUUACAAUAUGUGCUCCCAUCAAGUAAUGCCUCCACUUGGUCACUGCUACAAUUAGGGAUAGUAGCUCCUUCUCAUAUAUUGACAUCCCUAGAUUUUUAUUUGCUAGUACCUGACUCAUAUAUGCUAUUGGUCUUCCUUGUUGUAUCAACACAGCUCCUAGAGCUUUGGCUGGCAUUAGUCUCUAGGAUAAAGGUUUAGUAAAGUCCGGUAAUGCUAAUAUAGAACUCAUGACCUAUUUCAACUAGUAGAAAGCAUUCUCAGCUUCUGUACUCCACCAAAGGAAUCCUUUUCUAACAAAUCAGUCAAAGGUUUAGCUAUCAACCCAUAGCUCUUAACAAACCUUUGAUAAUACCUGGUCAACCCAAGAAAACCCCUUAAUGCUUUAACAACUCAGGACGUGGCUAGGAUACCAUGCUCUGUACCUUUGCGGGAUCAGUUACCACUCCGUCCUUGGUGACAAUGUGUCCCAAGUACUCAACCUAUGGCUAACCAAAAGUGCAUUUGGAGAGUUUGGCAUAAAGUUUAUGAUGUCUGAGAGUAUCCAGAACUUGUUUAAGGUGAAUAAGGUGGGUAGUCAAAUAUGGGCUAUAUACUAAGAUAUCAUCAAAGAAGACUAAUACGAAUUUUCUGAGAAAUUGAAUUCAUGAGUGCUUGAAAGGUUGCCGGGGCAUUAGUAAGCCCAAAUGGCAUAACGAGAAUUCAUACAAUCCAGUGUGAGCUCGAAAGACUGUUUUAGGUAUAUGAUUGGGAUGCAUUCUAAUCUGGUGAUAACCAGAUCUGAGAUCAAUUUUGGAAAAUAUUUUGGAACCAUGAAGCUCGUACAAGAGAUCAUCAAUGAUAGGGAUAGGAAAUUUGUCCUUAAUGGUGAUUUCUUUAGCUGUCUAUAAUCAAUACAAAACCUUCAGGUUUCAUCUUUUUUUCUAACUAGCAGGACGGGUGAAGCGAAAGGGCUAUGACUAGGCUGAAUAAUGCCAUUAAUAGAAUUUCUUGAACUUGUUUCUCAAUUUCAUUCUUCUAAAUGUGGGGAUAUCUAUAAGGAAUCAACUUGAAAGGUUUAGAAUCUGGUUUAAGGGGUAUCUCGUGAUCUAAUUGUCUAAUAGGGGGUAGGUGGAGAGUUCUCCAAACACAUCAGUACAAUAAGCCAGGAGUGCACUUAUGGAGUCAUCAGUGUGAGACGUUACCUUAGGAGUGUUAACUGCUAGAACACAGGGCUGUGUAGAGUUUCUUUCUUCUUGUAUCUCAUAAACUUUUGGACAGUUUUUCCUUCCUCAGUUUGAUGUCUGCCUUCUUAAAUCUCCUUGUAGCUUUAUUUCCCACCCCUCCUGAUUAAAGGAGAAUUGCAGAUGCUUGAAAUCAAAAGUUAUAGGACUAUGCUCUCUCAUCCAAUUAACCACCAAUACCAUAUCGUACGGCUCAAUUGCAAGCACAUAUCCAUCAUGAGUGAAUGUAUGCCCUUGUAUUUCUAAGGAUGAUCCGUGGAACCCAGCUACUACACUGUAGCAUCUGCCCAUUAGCCACUUGACUGCGAACAAUUUCCUUGGUACUACUAAUUGAGGAUUUUCCUCGAACACUGAAGCUUCAACAAAAGUGUGAGAACUUCCUCCAUCCCAAAAUAUUGAGAGUGGUUUGCCAUUAAAUUUCCCUUCAGUUUGAUAGUACCCUGCAGCAGCUCGCCAAUCAUAAAGUGGAUGGAAAAUACUACAUCUUUAUGACUAUUGGAAAGAGUUCGAUCGUACAUAGGUUGGCAAACAUGGCUGGCAUGAAAAAGUGAUACAGUAUAUGAAAUUUGACUUCAAAAGCUUGCCCUUGCUCUUUCACGGAUACGGGGCAGGGACGGUCAUCAGAAGGACCGUCCCUGAACAGUUCCCUAACAAACUCUAAUAAGAGGCCCUUAUGCAUCCAUGUUGAUAUAAAUAAAAUGCUCCCGUUUCACUUAGUGAGCAUAAAAAAAUUUAAAAAAAACUUGCCUUAGCCUAAUAGAUUCCACUACUGUCGAAACUUCGUUCCAAAAAAAUCCCGCCCAAAUUGAUUGGGCAUGACUAUCCAUUAAAACUCAAAGCCUAAUGCUCUCCCUCCAAAAAUCAAUCUCUUACUUUCCAUCCAAAAUUUGUCAAUAUAACUCCAUAACUCUAGAACUAGAGCAAAAUAACAUUCAAGAACAAGAAAAUUGCAGACGAGAGUGCCAAAGAAGAGCCAUGGAAAUGUACUAUCACCCAUCAAUCAUUACACUGAGGAGAAGAAGAACUACUUGCUGAAGGAAAAGGUGUUGGAGAUCUGAUAGUAGAAGGUGGUAGGAUUUGAGACAGAGAAACACCCAAUUGCAUCUGCAUAAACCCUUCAGGUAACAAUGUUGCAAACCAAUGACUUAAUUUCAUUUUUUGGUGAAUGGUGUCCAUCUAUUGUACUUGUAGUCUCAUGAAACCCUUUGAAUAGUAGAAGUUAAUUAGUUGAUGGACUGCACAAGAGAGGAGGGUAAAGAAAAAUUUUGCAUGCCAAAUGUUUGCAAAAUAGAAAAAAAAACUUUCAAACCAAUUAGUAGAAAGAGUUAUUACUAGGGGAUGUAUAUGAGAGUAUUUGUCUAGCAAUAACAACAUCAGAUCAACAAUAAAGUCAAGGUUAUAAAGAAACAAAAAAUUUCAAGUUAUAUUUUUCAUUUGUGUCGGUUGUAGGGACAUGUAAUGGUGUAGAUAGAAUUACUGGUGUUUAUGGGUAAUUACAACGAAAUAAAAUAGGAAGUACAUUAAGAAUAAUAGCAAGCAAAGUGAAUGAUUAUAAUGAAUUAUAAGAUGUUCCAGUGAGUAUGCCUUUACAUCAAUACUGGAUAGCAAAAUAAUAUUUGUAAUUAACUGGUGAUAGUGGAGAAACACUUUCAUGCAGUUGGAAAUUAAUAAUCACUUACACUAAAAUGUUCAAUUUGCUUAAAAAAGUCACAAUGAAGGGAAAAAGAAGGAAUAGAGGCCAACAAAAAGAGGAAAAUGCACACAUUAUUAACAUUAAUGAGUGGUAUUUCAUGUUUGAAGAUUAGUACUUAUUCAUAUAAGAACUGUCUAGUAAUUGAAGUGAAUUACUUUAAACUUAAUUGGUAUGAGUAUUUAAAAUCAUUUAUAUAUAUUAGAUUGAAUGUACAUACGGUUCAGUAUGCCUUAUGUAGUGCAAAAAUAUAAUUAUAAGAUGUCUUAGUAGUGUGCCUGUACAUCAUAUUAGAUAACUAUUAUUUUUUAUGAAUAAACAGUGACCGUGGAGAAAUACUUUCAUAUAGUUGUAAAUUAAUAAUCAAUUAAAAUAAUGCCCUGUUAAAGAAAGGUGUGAAGGUUUGACAAUAAAGGAAAAAAAAUAAAAGGAAAUGCACGCAUCAAAUAAUAAUGGUGGUCCCUGUUUCUUGUGGAUUGCUUCAAAGUUGAUUGGUAUUAAUGUAAAUUCUAAUUUUUAUGUGUUAGGUUGAAUGUACAUAUUGUUCAAUAUGCCUUACUUACUGGUAGAAAAUGGUUACAAGAUGGUUUAGUUAAUAUGCCUAUACAUCAUAUUGGAUAAGUAUUGUUAUUGGUGAACAAUUAGUGACAAUCGACAAAUACUUUUAUGUGGUUGUAAUUCAGCAAUGAAGUAACAGGAUGAUGUUGAAGCAAGAUCUACGGGAUUUAUAAUGAAAGGAAAAGAAAUAUAAGGAAGAGAAGCGAGGUGAAGUGUACACACUAUUAAUUUGACAAUUUAUUAUCGCAUGUUUGUUACUUGGUACUUAUUUGUACAUUCCUAGUCUAUGGGAUUAAGCUUGAUUGGAUAAGUGUAGGAUGUAAUAUGUAUGUAUUAGGCUAAAUGUACUCAAUGUUCAAUAUGCCUUACUCAGAUUUGAAUCUAGUAUAUCAUAUUUAGUUGUGAUUUUAUAACGUCAUAUGAAUGCCAGGAAAAAAAAGGAAGCAGGGCAGGGACGGUUAAUAGAGAUCAAUCGUCCCUGAACAAUGUAAUAUUUUUUGAAUAUUUUGUAACUCUAUGUAAAUUUCUUGUACAUCCUUACAACAGAAAUGUGAUAUUUGGUUACUGUUCGUAUAAGUCCUAUAUAUAAUAAUUGUGUUUUUGUUGUUAAAUUUUUAUAAGUUGUUCACAUAAAGUUCCGUUUUGUUUAAAAAAUGUUAUUUUGUUCAGAACGGUUGUUUUGAACAAAGUAAGUAGCCUUUACAAUUUGCAUGAGCAGUGGCAAGAUAGCACGGAAAAAGACAAAGAAGAAUCCAAGAGAAAAGGAAGAAAUAUAAAUAGGGGAACUACCAAACUUGCAGAACCAAUCCCAUCAUUUAUAAUUAGAAAGGAAAAGAAGAAACCAACUUGAGAAGAAGAAAUGAAGCAAGCGAACUCAGCUAAUAGCAUUGUAUAACAGCAUUGAUGGCAGACAACCUAAGGUUCCAUCUAAAUCACUUAAUACGUAAGUGGCUAGUGUUUGUCUCUUGCAACAUCUAUAGAACUCAAUACGUGAGCUUGAUGAUAAUUAUGCGCAACAUGCAAUGGGAAGCAGUCAGGGAAAGAAGAAAAAAAAAUGAAGGUAAAACAUCUUGUUCAGAUUGCCUUUUUUAGUGUGGAAAAAUGGUUACCAGUUAUGUUAAUUAGUAUGCAUACAUCGUGUUAGAUAACUAUUACAUUUUGUGAUAGAAUAGUGAUAGUGAAAAAAAUACUUUGACAUGGUUGUAAAUACACACUUAACUAGUAUAAUGAUAUUAAAUAAAGUCCUAGAAAUUGAUAAUGGAACCCUUGUGAGGAAAGAAAUAGAGACAUAAGUUUACUCUUGUUUGUAAGUUGAAACCCCAAUUAAUUGUGGCAGAUCAAUAAUUGAAACCCACAGUAUGAAAAUUGAUUGGCAUGAAUCUUGGUUCUAAUGCCUAUAUGUUAGGUUGAAUGUACUUGUUGUUCAAAAUGUCUUGCACAUAAUUGAAUCUACCAUAUCAUUACUUUAUCUUGAUUUAGGAAUGUCAGGAAAAAACCUUAUUAACAUGAAAACAACUACAUAGCUAUACCUUCACAGAAAAAUGCAAAUAUUAACUAUACCAAAGUUCUAGAAUACAUUCCAACUCAUUUAGCUAUUUUUCACUAUGCUAUUUCCAAUCUACUUUUUAUAGAUAUGCACAAUCAAGUAACUAACACCUCAUUGAUUAUACCUCAUAGAUCAUGUACAUUUUCAUAAGCUGAUUAAUGCAGAUAUUAACAAACAUUAGUAAUUGUUUACUCUUGUUUAUAUUUUGAAACCUCGACUAACUGUAGUAAUCCAGUAAUUGAAGCCUACAGUAUGAGAAUUGAUUGGCAUGAGUCUUGGUUCUAAUGCCUAUAUAUUAGGUUGAAUGCACUUGUUGUUCAAAAUGUCUUACUCAUAAUUGCAUCUGCUAUAUCAUUUUUAGAACUACUUUAUCUUGAUUUAGGAAUGUUGGGAGAAAAUCUUAUGUAAUUGUUUAUCAAAAAGUUGGUGCAGAUGGCAUAUAAGAGAUUGAGAAGUUUGAUUAAGAAAGCAUCUAGAGAAGAAAAAAGUGAAAAAUUAGAUAAUAGCGAACUUGAAGCAUCAUCAAAAUCCUUGAAUAUGUAAGUUUGUCAAUGCUUUUAUGUUGCACCAGUAUGUUGGUAGGAUAGUGAGACGUGAUUUUUUUCUUUUUCUUUUUCAACAAACGAUAAUAGCUUUAUAAAUAUUAACACUUGAUAAUACAAGAAUUACUUACAAAAGGGGCAACUUGGAAAGUCACUUUCCCAAUCUAUGUCAUUAACUAGCUUUGAUGCAAAAAGUGCUAGCCUAUGACUUGCUAUAUUUGGUGUUCUAGGUACCUAAGAUAUUGUGCAAUGGUCAAAAUCUAGUGUUAGGUCCGCAAUGUCUUCCAAGAUGUUUGCUAGAGUUCCAUCUUGUACAUUGUUGCAUCUGAUGUUGUUUGUGUCUAUGAGACGUGAUUAUUUGAUUGAUUGCAAUUAAGAGUUGUUGAAUCUUAGUCAAAUUGAUAUGUGUUGAACAAAGUAAAUAACCUUUACAAUUUGCAUGAGCGGUGGCAAGAUGGCACGGAAAAUGGCAAAGAAGAAUCCAUGUGAAAUGGAAGAAAUAUGAAUGAGCUUGCAGAACCAAUCCCACCAUUUAUAAUUAGAAAGAGAAAAAGAAAUCAACUUAAGAAGAAAAAUGGAAAAAGUGAAACUAGAUUAACAGCAUUGUAUAACUCUUUUACUUUCUUUUUAUACAUUUUAGUUACUACAAUAUUUGUAAAUUUUGUAUUUCAAUUUAUAGAAAAUGUUAUGUAGUGAUAGGUAAGAAUCCUUGUAGAUAUCAUUGUAAUCAUCAUAGAUUUUUGUUCAAUUUGUAAAUUUGUUUGAAGCAUUAUAUAUAUCUAUUAGAAUUGUUGUAUAUAUUGUUAUGACUAGAUUGUACAUUUGGUUGAUUUUUAUAUGCAUCAUACUUAAUAAAGUUAAGGAUAUUUGUUCAAAGAGCAAUUAAAUGAUAGAAGGAUGCCAAAAUUGACAUCCCAACUGUGUUUCUAAGGUUUUUAGUUUGGAGUUUGACAAAAAUGGAAACGAGUGACACUAUGAUUGGGUGUUACAAAUUUGUUGAUAAAAAUCAAAACGUGUACACUCCACAGAAAAAUGCUAAUAUCAACUACACCAAAGUUUCUAGAAUACAUUCUAACUCACGUAGCUACUUUUUAUUGCAUUAUAUCUAAUUUUUCUUUUAUAAAUAUAUAUAUUCAAGUGACUAACACCUAACAUGAUGUACAUUUUUAUAAACUAAUUGUAACUCAUAAAUCACUCCGUGUAAAGUGCUCACAGAUAAAUUAGUACUACUCAUACAAGUAAAAUUAUGCAUCAAUUAUAGGGAGAUGCACAAGUUGAUCAAAUGGUCAAUAACCAUUUCAAAGUUAUGCUUACCAUUGCACUACCUUUCAUAGAUAUAUACAGAUAAGUAACUAAUAUCUAACAUGAUGUACAUUUUUGUAAACUGAUUGUAUCUCAUAAAUCACCUCGUAUAAGUUGCUUAUAGGUAAAUUAGUAUUAGUUAUACAAAUUAAAUUACACACCUACUGCAGCCUGCAAGAAGAUGCACAAGUGGGUCAAAGCACUAAUAAUCAUUCCAAGUGUAUGCGUACCAUUGCACUAUGCAUGUGGCUGCGAUGACUAAUUGCAAUACGCAUGAGUAAUUACUACUUUUUAAGAUUGUCAUAUAUUGACAACUAAAAUUUUACCUAAAUCCACUACUUUCAUAAUAGUGGUAAAUAACUAGUUAAAUUUUUGUUCAAUCAAAAUGUAUGUAACUUAUAAGUAACCAAAUGUAACUAAUUUUCACUAAUUUGUGAAACAAAUUUUUUUUUUGAACAUAUCAUAAAAUGGACUAAAUAGUUUGUAAGGCAUUAGCAAUGGAAAGUCAGUAAAUACUAACAUGAGAUACAACAUCGACAUGUAACUAAUUAACAAUAAAAAGUAAAUUUUUUUUUGCUAAUUGAUAGAAUAGAGUUAUUGCUUUGAAUAUAUUGUAAAAUAGAUUGAGCUAACCAUAAAAGAUUAAUAACAAAUAGUACUUAAAUAUUAACUAAAUAUACAACACUGAUAAACAGAAUCUAAAAUUAAUAAUUUAACUUUUUUUUCCGCUAAUACAUUGUAAAAUGGAUUGAACAUAUGGUAAUGCAUUAAAAACUAAUUGUAAGUACAUUCUAACUAGUAUUACAAGUCUAGCUUAAUGAACUGUCUAAUUGUCCAAUCUAAUUUCUUUACUCCACCAGCAUUGAUUGAUAUCCAUUGAUUUGUCAAAAGAAACUAUCUUUGCCCAUGAUAUACUGCAAAAUAAAAUUAAUAAGAUAUAAUGUGUUAGCAAUUACAUACAAGGUAUAGUUAAUCAGAUCCCAAUUUAUACGCCUAUAUGAACUCUAUGAACCAAUAAACAACUAUAUAGUAAAUUCAUUCUUACAUUAUGUGUAUGUAUGUGACAGUGUCUAUGGGUUAACAACCAAUUACAAAUUCAAACAAUAGAUUAACUUUUGUAAAUUUAUGGCCAUAUAAGCAUACAUAAGAUAUAGUACUACUCCGUACCUACUAAUAACGUGUACACUCUACAGAAAAAUGCUAAUAUCAACUAUACCAAAGUUUGUGAAAUACAUUCCAACUCAUGUAACUACUUUUUGUUGCGCUAUAUCUAAUCUCCCUUUUACAAAUAUACAUAGUCAAGUAAUUAACACCUAACAUGAUGUACUUUUGAAAACUGAUUGUACCUUAUAAAUGAUCUCGUGUAAGCUACUCAUAGACAAACAAGUAUGACUCGUACAAUUAAAUUUACAUAUCCAUUAUAGGGAGAUGCCCAAGUUGAUCAAAGGGCCAAUAACCAUUUCAAAUUUAUGCGUACCAUUGCACUACCUUUCAUAGAUAUACAUAAUCAAAUAACUAACAUCUAACAUAAUGUACAUUUUAGUAAACUGAUUGUAUCUCAUAGAUCACCCCGUGUACGGUGCUUAUAGGCAAAUGAGUAUUAGUCAUACAAAUAAAAUUACACAACCACUGCAGCCUGCAAGGAGAUGCACAAGUGAGUCAAAACACUAAUAACCAUUUCAAUUGUAUGCAUACUACUACACUAUGCAUAUGGUUGUGAUGACUAAUUGAAAGAUGCAUGUGGACAAAUAACUGUAUGUUUCAACAAUUUCUAUGCAUCAUACUUAGUCAGUAACACAGUGUACAUUAUUUCAACCAGAUUGUACAUUUACUAAAUAUUUAUAUAUAUACAUGCUACUUAUUGAAGUAAACUACCUAUCUACUAAAUAUUUAAUGCAUUCUCAUAAGCACUAAUGGUCAAUUUAAUAGGUGAUUGGAACAAAUAACCAUCUAGUAAAAACUUUUGAUAUAAUGUUAUUGAUGAAUAACAUACCAUACAUUCUGAUAAACAUGGUGUACAUCACGCACCUUAUCUAGACAAAAUCCUACAAGUUAUCAAAAGUCAUGCCAUACUUUAAAAGCAAUUACAAGUAGCAAAAUUUAUACAUGUACAGUCAUAUCAAUAGAUUGUAACUUUUAGCUUGCUUUCUAUAUAUUCAUACAAAUACAAGAAUUGUAUAAUACAUAACUCUUGCUUUAUAACAUAAUUUUCCUAACUAUACUUAACAUUUUCCCCUAGUUGUGUGAAGCUUAAACUUCUUUAUCAAUCUAAUGACUUGGUUAUUUUCAGAGUUACUAAUCGACCUAUGAAUAACCAAAAUUAAGGAUAAGGGUUAGUAGAAUUACCUUCGUCUACCUCUACCAUUGUUUUUCAACCUUACUUCGCCAUCCGGAAUAGUGGUGUAUGUACUCAGUUCUAUUUUGCUACCCAAUAUUUGCUUCAGGAUCGAAAUUGCGAGGCAUUAAUACCUGUUGCAUCUGUCUUCUUUACCCUUAAUCGUCAACAGAUCUCCUCUAUAAUGAUGAAACACUACUAUAGCCUGUUUCUUCAGUUUGAAUAGCCCUUAUCCAUCAAGCACAUAUCCCUCACAACACGUUACUUCUCCAGCUUUAACAAAGAAGGAGAAGGUUAUCUCUCAGUAAUUUUCUCAUCCCCAGUUAGAGAGAGAAAUUAGUUUCCUUGAAGAUAAAUAUGAUGUUGAAUUUUCAAUUCCCGAUUAGAAAGAUAAAGUUGUUUUCUUCAACAUUGUGUUAAAUAGUGACUUUCCCAAUUUUAAGUUGAAGCUAACUAUCAAAUUCAAAAUUUCAUUUCAAAAUUCAAACUUUUGAAAGUUCCGUUUAGUUUAACCCAGUCCGUUAAGAUAAGCCAAGUCAAAUUUUUUUUUUUUUAGAUUUUACUAAUUGGAACGAUAACACUUUUGCUUCUCUUGUGAUCCUUGGCUGUGUGGCUCUUUUUCAGCCACAUAUUUAGGCUUGUGAGGACCGUCCCUGCCCCAUAUGGAUGAGAGGCAGGAGCAGUCAUCAGAUGGACCGCUCCUGAACUGUUAAGGGCCAAGAUUUGGCUAUAAAAAAUUGUAAGGUCCAUAUCACUUCUUGUACAUCGAUUUUCACAACGUGUGUGGAGCCCACAAAAUUUUAUUCUAAAAUUACACAUUGUGCAAAUAAAGUUAUACUUGUGCAAACAAAGUUACGUGGUAUGUAAAAUGCAUAAAACCGCGAAGAACAGUUGCAACCGGCAACCGUUCCUGCCCGUGGUCCACCCUAUAUCCGCUCUUUCGCCCUACUGUCCAAAGUAGCUAUAACACCUUUUAGGGGGGAAAUUAAUUACGGAAGGAAAAGAUGAAUGGAAAAUUGAACUUUCAAAUGCAACUAUUGUUAAGGGUUAGAGGCACUGAGCACCCUAACUUGGAGAUAUUUUCACAUUUUUCUUUAACGUUAUUUUUGUUGUAUUUUGCCCCUUCUAUUAAGUCACAUCAACUUUUGUCAUUAAAAAGAAAAGGUCAAAAGUUUCAAUCUUGCCCUUAUCUCCAUUUCCCUUCAUUUUUUUCCUUGUCUAAGUUUCUCAUUUCACACCUUUUUCGUAGGUGUAAUUUCCUUUUUUUUUUUUGAAAAUUAAGAACUAUGUUUCCAAAAUAUUUCACUUCUAUUUUUUUUUAAAAAAAUCUACCAAUAUUAAGCAAACAGAAAACUUUGCUAUUGUUAAAAAUAUUGCACAUUUAUUAUGAACAUCAAUAAAUGGAGGUAAGAUACAAUUGUGGUAAGAUAUCUCUCAAACACGUGUUAGUGAAAAUAUAAAAAUUUUGACAAAAAAUUUUCUUGUUAAAAUUACAUAGCAUUAUUUUUUGGUAUCUAUUUUAUGAUUUUUGUUGUACAUGAAAUGAUUUUAUUUUAAAUUUUACAAUAGAUUUCAAUGGCAUGUAAUUUUUUAAAAAGGGGUUGGAACUCGUUUUAAGGAAAUUCUUCCGAAACAAAAGGAUCGGAUCUUUUUUUCAAGCAUCAUUUCUUCACUAAUUUUUACUUUGAAAUCAUUAAUUUCUUUUUUGAUAAACUGUUAUUGUCGACCAUUAGUUAAAGGGAAAAAGUACAAUAAAAAUAAUGUUAGGAAAAAAAGUGCAAAUGGCAACAAACUUUAGGAGGCUAAGUGCCUUUAACCCUAAGAUUAAUUCUAGUGUUUGAUACUGCUUUGUCUGUGACAGCCCCACCUCCCACUAAAGCGAACCAAAGGGUUCGGCGGACCGCUUGUCCAACUCUCGCAGGGACUCAGUCGUUCACUUCAAUUCUUAAUCAAAACCAGAAUAAAAUCACAGGAAUAAACAUAACAACGAUCCAAAACUUAAAGCAAAACUUAUAUACAUUGCUAUCUCAAAAGGGAGUACAAAUAUCGAAUAUACAAAAGUUAUCAAUUCUUCAUACAUCCAACCCGUGCCAAGCGCUUGGGCGAGAACCAUUACAAAAUCAGAGAUCCAGCCUAAGCUAGUCUAUACAAAACUCCUGUCCUGGUUCGCCUUCCCCUGUUAAGGAAAACGAAACUAAAGGAAUGAGUUAAAAGUUCAGUGAGGUUCCGAACACAUAAUCAAACAGUCAAUUCAAUACAUUAAACAUAGAAUAUCAAUAUUUCACGAUAAUAACACAUUCAUUAAAAGAAUACGGGCUCACAAGGAGCCAUUCAUUCGUUCGUUCAUUCAUUCUCCUAUCAUUCCCCUUAUUCCUCCAAUCAUUUGAAAAUGCGUUUUUGUAAGUAAAACCCUCGUUCGUUCAUUCGUUUCAUUCACCCCCUUCUUGGACGUUGUCCAGGCUCCACCAGAAUUCAAGGUAAUACUCGAGUAUACCAAACGUUCACACCCAGGGUUACCAUAUCGCCCGAUCGAGUCCGCUUCUGGCCCGAGUCGAUCGGUAACAAAGCGUAGGGUCCAGUUCAGCCAAAAGGCUUACAUCAUGCACAUGUAACAUUUCAAUCAUUAAAUCAUUGAAAAUUUCACAUUUUAUUUAGGUCGAGCGCGAUAAAGUACACACUCACCUAAAAAACUCGUUUUGAAAAUCCUGAAAAGCACUUAACACAUUGUCAAACAAUAACACAAGUUAUGAAGUCAAGAAAAAUAUAGCAAACAAGGAACACUCACCUAUUUAUGCAAAAUAACGUGCAAAAUAUCCUUCCGGGUCUUACCCUUAGUCAUCGAGAAAACCUAAAAUUAAACGAGAAAGAAUAUUACAGUUUAUCUAGCAAAACAAUUAUGUGAAAUCGAGAAAACCCGACUAAUUACGAGUAAAACGUAUAAAGAUGACCUUCAAGUGAAAAGCGGGUAUUUGGAUCUGUGGACAGAAAUAACUAGGGUUUCAUAAACCAAACUUAAAACUAAACUCAAAAGGGUUAUAAAAUUUCUAACGGAAAACACUUGGACCAAAGACAAAUCGGAAUCCAACUAGAUAAACUAAAGAAAUAUGUUUUUUUUUGAAUCAUUUGGGUAGUUCAAAAUCAAUAUAUAAUCAAGUAAAUAUUAUACAAAAAAUAUCUUGAUGAAAAGCAUGUGAAAAGGAGGACAAAAAUACCUUAACUUCACACUUAAACCCUUACUUGAAAGUAGUUCAUUUGUGGUCGAGAAAAUCGUAGUUCAUACCUCUAUAUUUUGGUACGGAGUAAGUAAACAUUUGAAAUUUCAAAUUGAAGAGGUAUCAUGUUUUAAAAUGAUAAAACGAUCAUAAUAUUUACCAAGUAGAAAUAUAGGAGUUCAAAUGAAAAAUAUGUUUUCGAACACCCUUCGAGAGCAUCAAAGUAGUUUUCCCAUGAAAUACGCCCAACUUGACUCAAAACACAUUUCUAAAACCAUUUUAACUCACUCACAUUACAAGAAAAUAAACGGACGGUAUUUCCCUCUAAAACUUCAUUUUCUUCCUACAAACAAAUACCCAAACUUGCAAGAAUCAAACACAAUCACACAUUCGGUUUAUAAACAAUAAAACACGUCCAAUUAGGCCACACUAUCCUUCAAUUAAAGCCAAUUAGAAGCUCAAAAGCCUACCAUUAGAAAAUCCCCAAAUUAAACCCUAGAAACCGGAAUUUAUUCCCACAAGCAGAAAUUUUCCGCAAACAACCGCAAUUAACGUAUAAAGGUCCCAUUUAACACCAUUUUAAUCCAUCAAUCCAAGACCAACCCAUGACUAUCAUAUAAAAUCAGAAAAAUACUCAAUAAAUCAGAAAUUGAACCAACUUAACUUAAAACCAUGAAAUCAUCCACAAUAUAGCAUCUCCAACCUUUACAAACCACUAAUUAACCAAUAUUAGCACCAAAAGAGAAUUUCUUAACAACUCACCUUAUGAGCUCAAGAAAGGUAGAAACUUAAGACUUCCCCUCCAAAAACAACUCCACCAAGACCUCUAACCCUGCUUAGCUAGUGCUUGUAGGGAGUAGUUUGAAAAUUCAACGGUGAAAUCUCAAUAUUUGAGCAAAAAUUGAAGAUAGAAAAUGAAGAGCUUUCUUGGUUUUUCUCUCAAGCUAGCCGGUCAAGCAAGGAGCAAAAUGAAGAUAUUUUAGGCCAAAAGUAGGACAAGAAUGAAAGAAACAGCCGGUCAAAGCUGGUGACCGACUGUGACACGUCACAAUCCGGCCAGAUUCCUGGGCGGAUACAGGGCAGAGGCGAAACCAAUUUUUUUUUUUCAAAAUCCUCAAACAAUCCGGCCAAGAUCUGGCCAGAUUUGCGGCCGGAUUUGGUACCAAACAUUUUCAAGAAAAAUUUUCUUUUCUAAACUCACACGCCGUGUUCAUCCGUACUUCCAACGAAUAUAUAUAUAUAUAUAUAUAUAUAUAUAUAUAUACAUAAUCUCACGCAAAUUCAUUUGAUAUACACAACCACAUACUCACAUUUAUAAAUAAAACCUCUUUUUAAAACAAAUGGUUACCAAAUUUUCAUUUGAAACGGAAAGUGAGAAUAAAGAAAAGGUUAAGAAAACGUGAAAAUUUUUAGGGUUCUCACAUUGUCACUACGAACUUACUAGUCCGGAGUUUACUUUUGUCGAAAUGGGAAGGAAAAUUGGGGGGCUAAGUUUUGUUCUGAACUAGACACAAAGUUCGUUAAUUACAUUUUACUUCUCUGGGAACCCAUCUCACCCCCAACUGCCAACAUUCUUUAAUUACACAGUAGUAUCAGAAUCGUGCUUUCACUUUUACGCGUCUAUAACUCUUCUGUUUUUGGACUAUAUUUCUAUAAUUAAAUGGAGUAACAUUUUAUGCCCCCUCAUAAAAAUUUGCGAGAUUCUGAUAUUUAAUAGUUUUUGCACUACAAAUUACAAAAAUCCCGCGUGGCAUUAACCAUACAAUAAUAUUACGCUAAAAAUGGGCUUGGGGAAGUUCAUGCUACAUAAAUCAUACGUUGAGAGAAGAAUGAAGAGGUUCUUGAAAGCUGUUCUUAUUUCUUGAUUAUUACUUCUUCUUUUUUUUUUUUUUUCCAUGAGUCUUUUAACUUUCAUCACUUAAGAUAAUAAGUUAUUAAGACUGGAAAUUGUUUGUUGAAUCAAUCUACCUGCAGGUUUUGAGUCUUCCCAAGUCUUCCUUUAUAGUCAUCUUCUUAUUCUUGAAUUUCACUCACAUUAUUUUCUUGUCACUUGUAAAGGAGUCUUCCCACGUCUUUCGUUUGCCGUCGUCUUCUUUUUAUUUUUCUUUUUCACAUCGUUUCCUUUUCAGCUGUUGUCAGUUAUGUGUAAUCGCCAAUGGGAAUUGUUACCUUGGAGAGCAAGUGUCAAAAAAUAAGGAAAGUAAUAUCUUCAAAUCUUGUGAUUACGACUUUAAUAGCAUGGUACUAUAUCUGGUGGUUUUUCUCGUUUGAAUUAACUCAGAAAAAGAAAAUUAUUGACUCGUUAACUUCAUGGCUAGUCCAGUCAAGCAUGGACAAAUUUACAGAUCUUUGGGCAAACUUUGGCAUUCUUGAUUGGAUUGAAGUUUUUUUGCAGAAAAGUUUUUACAUGAUCGCAUUUCUCAAAUACCCUUUUAUUUCAUAUAUAUAAAAUUGUUAUAGUAUAUUUUUUUUUAUAAUAAUAUAAAAAAAAAGACAAUCCAAACGAGUGCAUGUGUAGACUAAUUGGCUAACUUCCUCAAAUUUUGUGUGUGUUUGAUUGGCGGAUUUGUUAUUGUAUCAAAGAGAUUCGAUGAACACAAUUAUGAAGUGUAUGGAAACGAAGCUCACGGUCAAGGACAAAAUAAUCAGUUAAUUGCAAUGAAAAUAUAGAUGACUCCACAAUAUAUACGACUCCUCCUUCACAACAAUAUUCCCUUGAGUCCUACUCUUUGUGUAAAUAUGGCUGCAAACGAAUUCAGCCACUUGCGAGUAGUUCAAGCCAAAACUCGACCCGAGUUUGGUUAACGAACUGAUCAAAUCGAACUCGAACUUAAAGAAACUCAAUUCGUCAACUCGCAAGUUGACUCGAAUAUAUAUAUAUAUAUAUAAAUUAUAUAUAUAAUUUUAAUAGUAAAAUUAUAAUAUAUAUAUAUAUAUAUAUAAGUUCUUAAUAUUUUAUUAUUUGUUAUGAAAAAUUAUUAUUUUAUUCAUUUAUUAAAAAAUAAAAUAAUUAUUUUUUUAUUUUUUUUAUCUCAAGCACAAACUUUACAUUGAGAACUCGAGCUCGAAUUCGAGUUUGAUAAAACUAAAUCGAGACUCGAUUCGAUUAGGUCAAAAUUCGAUUCGACUCAACUUGUUUGCAAAUAAGUUGUUAUCAGAUAAGUUGAUAAAACCAGUCAUUAGAUAGUUAAAUAAGUUGUAAAAGAUUGCUCACAGUGUAAUAGUUCAAGAAUGCCUUUCAAUCAGAAAAAAAGUAAAAUUAUUUAUGUUUCAACCCUUCUUUCAACUUGCUUCUGGUACAAAACAACAAAUAGAAGUUAUUGAGAGCAAGAGAAUGAGAGUGGGGGAAUCAACUCCAUUAUCUUAGACCAAUGGCUUCUUGGACUAUUGGCCAUCACAAAGGCUUCUCAAUUCCUUUUGAGGUGGGAGUUCAAGGUUUUGAACCUUGCUCCUAUCAUUUGUCAUUCUAUGUGACUUCGCCAAAUUCAGUCGGUGUCGGUUUAGUUUUCUCUGGUUCUUAAUGACCUAGUUGAAUCUAUUCCCAUUUUCAUAGAGUAGAAGUAAGUGUAGAUUGUUGACGUUUGUAUGGGAAAAGAAAAAAAAAAAAAAAAAAACCUCCGUUAACUUAAGAUGGGGAUUUGGGGAUUGGGUAGAUAAGUCCCGAAUUUGGCCUCAGGAGUUACCACUAUGGCUUUUGAGGUUAAUUUGGGAUUAGGUUUAACUACUAAUUCUUAAAAUUUCUGAUAAAAAAAAACUUAAGAUGCCCAUUGUAUUGGGCUAACCCAGAGCUUAGACCAAAAACAUUUUCGUGGACUAUAUGUUUAUAUGUACGUCAAUUUCGGACUCCUGCUCCAGUUAAAAGCAUCCCAAUCCUGAGCAGAGGUGCAUUUACUUCGAGACAUUUGUAAAUGGGAACUUUGGAAGACUGGGACAAUGGGCACACAAGGAAACUUGAAGUCCUUAUGAUCAUCUAAUCAGUGCUCCUUAACGAACAGGAGAGUUCAAUCCGGAACCUUAUGAUCAUCUAAUCAAUGCUCCUAAGUCCUAUCCGAUUAACAAAGUUCUUCUCAGAAAGAAAGAAAAUUCAUCAUAACAACUGGAUUGGGCUCCUCUCUAGUACUCAUUCCUUCUAGUUUUCCUUAUCCAUCGUUUGGUACACAGAAAUAUCCAAAAUGUUAACGACUCACAAGAAUCCGCAGCAAUUUCCUUGAUUGUAAAUUAACCUUGACGACAAUAAAGAUGUGAAUUAAUGACUUGCAAGAAUCUGCAGCAAUUUCCUGAAUUGCAAAUUUACCUUGAUGACAGCAGAGAUAACAUGUCAUGUCAAACUAAAGCAGCGUACAACAGUAAGGAUUGAGAUCCUCUACCGUCAAAUUAGUAAAUGCAAAGUGCCGUUAAAGGUAGGAAAUGGGGUAUUUUGAAAUUGAAUGGAGGAGAUUAAAGGUCAAACGCUAAUUUUAAUGUGUCAAAAAAGUUUGUUGUGUUUUUUCACUUUAUUGUAUUAUCGUUCAUAUUUAUUAUGUUAGUAUCUACAUCAAUUAUGUCAUUAUUGUCCGCACUGUCUUCAAUACCAAUGACAGCAGAACCCCCUAAAAACAUGCUUGAAUAUCAGCCAAUAUUCAGGCCCCAUAUCAUAUGCAUGUGUAUCAGCUUGUAUAGCAUAAAAAUUUAAGAAGUCUUACAGUAACCAGCACAACAAUCAUAAAUUUAAAAAAAGCAAUGAAGAAAAAGAACAAAACCAACAAAAGGGCUCCCAUUGCAAUCGAAAACAUGACCGAAAAGGCUUAAAGAAGGAAUGAAUCAGGGAAAAGAAGAAUGAGUGAUAGUAUUAUUAGCUGACCAGAAUUGAACUUAGAGUAGUUAUCAGUUACUGGUCUGCGGCUGAUGAAGAGUAGACAAGAUUUUACGAGAGGGGCAGGGAAUCCCUUAUCAGCUAUGACACGGGUUGGAAAGAUAGGACUGAAUGGGAAGUUGCGGACAACAAAUCCAGUCACAUUUUAGUAUUGGAAUCCAAACACAUCCUGGAGGAAGUUUUUUAAUGCUAGCACGAAUGCUCCACUCAUGUUUUAUUGUAAACAAAUAGCAAAUUAAAAAAAAAAAAAAAAACAAAGCAAUAGUACUUUUACGAUUUUUCAAUGGCCAAGUAAACAAAGGUAUUAUGACAUUCAAUCAGCAUAAGCAGCAAUUUUGUCCAUUAUCUCUGCAACAAUCUCUUAGACUCCCUCAGCAACUUGAUGCUUGCAUUCAUCUGUAACGUUUACCAGCAAUAGAUGGAGAUUCCUCCAGCAUCCGUUCCAAUGCACCCCUGUGAGUUCCCAUUAACUCAUUCACCAUUUCGGUUUCCAUGUCUUUGUUCACCAGAUUUUGGAUGCUGAAAGAGUAAAUGCAAAGCCAUGCUAUCAACAACUCCUCAGGACAAUCUUCCAAUAAGCAGUCAUCCUCAUUUUCAGAUCAAAAGCUUGUUGUGCAACGACCAGAUGAUUUCUCAGAUGCCCGACUUCAACCUCACCAAUUCCAUCAAUCUCUAGAGUUGUUGAUUUCGUACAAUCAUUCAUAGAUCAUGAACCUGAACCUGUCCUGGCUUUCAUCAGAUCAUGCCAGGUUGCAGAGUACUCAGGAUUACAAGUAUAAUCAGGUGAGUUUUUCUCCAUUUCGAUAAUCUGCAAUACCCAAUCAACUGACUGCUCCUUUUUUGGAAACAAGACUUUGGGCAGCUCUUCUGAUUGAAGGUUGAAGUUGUGGGUAGUUGUCAGAGUGCUUCAUCAAGACAGAACUAACACCCCUUGUAAAUACUCCCAAAACUUGUUCACAAAUCCUGCUGGUGUAGCGGAAAUGGCCUGACCAUUUUUUGUAGUGAAGUGAGAAAAGCUGUGCGAUGAAGGAAAUUAGGUAAGCUUAUACCUUUAGCUUCCUCCAGGAUGCUAAUCUCUUCCUCCAAGAACUUCUGCUUUUGUUCAACUUUGAUAGAGAUGAACUGCAAAUCCCAUAGUAAUCGCUCAGCAUCUCUGCCAGUCUAGCAGUACAAUGCAUUUCUUUUUCAUCUGGAUACUCAUCGAAUUCCCCUCUGAUAAAUAUUUUUCUCAGUGACUCUUUGGCUGAAGAUAUGAUACGCAUAAAAGCAGUGACUGCUUCAGGAACUGAGUGCAACUGUUGUGGCAACUUGUUCAGCUCUGCAACACUUGCAGUUAGCUUGUCAUUGAUCUUUCUCACAAUAUCUGGCAAGCAUUUUGAAAUUAUAGUUGCCUGAAUUUGCACCAGUUUCUGGGCUAAAACAGGAAUGCCAACCAUAGACUUGUGGAUCUUGGACAGCAACGGAUGUGUUUCAAAAAGCGUAGCUUCUACAGCUCGAGCUUCCUCGUAUGAUUCAUCUCCAAUUCGAUUUCUCACACAGACGUAUCCAAGUUCAAUAUUCACAUCAUCAGCCGUUACCUUCUCGAGCAAGCCUUCAGGGGAUUUGUCUGCCUUGGUGACAACUGCCAGAGUUCUUUCACCCAUUUUGUCAACUUUUUGGGACAUCCGAAUUGAUUCACAAGUAGAAAAAUCAACAGUAGCUGAUAAAACAUUGAGUAUUAUGCUUUCUUCUGGUUUAAUAUACUCCAUAAUGAUUGCUGAUAUUUGCUCAUAGAUGUCUUCAGGCUGCCCGUGAACUGGAACUCUAGUAAUCCCAGGUAAAUCCACCAUAGUAAGAUCAGGGACCCCAUUCUUCUUAACAAUCAAAGUCAGGGGAACAUUUGAUAUUCCCUUGCUUCUGCCAGCAAUCUCAUCAGUUGCAACGCUGAUGGCCUGAGCAAUAUGGUCCUCAUCGGUUGGAACAACUCUUCCGUUAAACUCCAAGCUCACCUCUGGCUUGGGACUGGGAUGACUUUGCAGCCUCAUAAUCAAGGGAACCCUUGUGCAGAUCCCUUGCCCUCUAGGUAGGCUAAUGCCAGCCAGUGACUCUAGAACGCUAGACUUUCCUGAAGAUUGAUCUCAACAACAACAAUUGUUGGAAGCUGGAUUCCUUCUUGCAUGACUUUAAGGUUUCGUAGCCUGUCUAUGCAGUCCAGCAAUGGCCUAAUGCGUUCAUUGUAGGAUGAUACGAUGGGGCUAGCGUUUCUUCUUGAACAGCUUGAACGAGGUCUUUGAUCAUGGACAGCUCGAACGAGUUCUUUGGUGAUUUCUUCAGAAACAACAUUGGAGCCGCUGCUUAGUACACUCAUGUGUAAUUUCUCGUGGUUGUUGGUUUUGAGUGUUUCUAUUAUAUUGUCGCUGGUAAAAAGAUUCGGAACUUGGAAGGGAAAAAGGAGAUGAAAGAGCAAGAGAUUUUCAGAUUUGGUGAUAGGAAAUUUGGAUUUGUGGAUACUUUAUAGGUGAUUUUUUAUGUUGAUCUCAGUACCAUCUCUUUUCUUGGAUGAAAUACGGUGUUCCAAGAAUUGAGAUAGAAAUACGAAAUCUAUGAAAUUAGUUAAAUGAUCAACCAAGCAAAACAAUAGCAUCUUUUGAAGUAGUUAACUCCAAGGUAAAUCAGCACAGAUUCCUUAACUCGCUCUGCAGGGUGGAAAGCUGAUGCUUGACUUGCUUUUCUCUCAUCCUUUGCCAACUGGAAAGUAAAAGUUCAUCGAAAAUCAGCUAUAACCCUUCGAUUGAUCAGCAGACUAAUUAGCAGUGUAAGAUAGAAUUACUUUGUUAUAUCAUACCCAAAUUAAUCGUGACAAUCAAAAGACUUGGGAGGUCAUUAAAUUGUUCUUUUCCUUCAACUUUACGUCAUACUUGUGCUUCACCAUUUGCGUCAUGGGAUCCAAUAAUGAGUGUACUAUUGUUAAUUUAUUAUUCCUUCUGGUGGAAAUUGGAAACAAGCUAGUGGGAUCAAUUGACUUCUUUUCUUUGGCCAUGACAAAGGAAAAUGUUCGAUCUUACAAAGGUAGGCAAACAUGGAAAAAGCUUGCACCCCCGCUCUUUCGCCUCACAAUCCAAGUAGCUAUCACCAUUUAGGGGGAAUUAUUUGACAGUCUUUUGUGUUUGAAUUGAUUUUUCUGAAUUUUGUAAAAAAAUUAUUGUAACGAUUUGAUAAGUGUGAAAUAAAAAGGUGAUUCGGAAUUGUGUUUACGGAACCCCACAAUCCAAAGUAGCUAUCACGUUUAGGGUGAAUUAUUUGACAGUCAUUUUGUGUUUGGAUUGCAUUUUUCUGAAUUUUUUAUAGAAAAAUUAUUGUAACGAUUUGAUAUAUAUGAGAUAAAAGGUGAUUCGGAAUUGUGUUCACGGAAAACAUUCUAAUGCAAUCAUUCACGGAAUUGUGUUCACGCAAUUUUUCCAAACAUUCUAAUGCAAUUAAGAUUAAUGUGAAGAAUCCUAUUCCUAGGCUGUAAGAACUAAGAAGACCGAAAAACAUAAUGCAUAAAAUAGUCAAUUGUUUUCUAACGCAAUUAUAUUGUAUUCUUUACGUUAGCUGAAGAAUGAAGAGGUUUUUAACAUUAACAAUUGUGCUUAUUUCUUCUUUCUUCACGAGUCUUUUAACUUUCACUUAUGAUAAGUUAGAGGAAAAAUGGCCAAUUUUGUCCUUAAUUUUUUUAAGGGUGCUAAUUUAGUCCCUAACUUUUAUUUCUGAUCAAUAUGAUAUUUGAACUUAUGGUGCAUCACUAGUUAAAAACGAUCUUACUUCUCAUUGGCUAAUUAAAUAGUGGUAUUACGAGAACAUUACUCACGAGAAUGUAAUAAAACAAGCAAAUCGUCUAAAAAAUCACUAAUAAAACUUUUAAAUUGUGUAAAAAAAUCACCAAAUAAACUUUUUAAAGUUUAAUCUUGUGACUUUUUACUAUACAGUUUCGUAAGUGACGUUUUCAAAAUAUCUUCUUUAGUUGGUCAAUUAGGAGUCAGAUUGGUUUUAGGUGGCACCGCCACCAUGAAGGUCCUUAAUUGGAACUGCAAUUAAGUUCGCAUAUUAAAUUGAUUAGAAAUAAAAGUUAGAAACUAGACGGCACUAGUAAAAAGUUUAGAACGAAAUUGGUCAUUUUCCCUAAAAGAUAAGACUGGAACAUAUUUGUUGAAUCAGUCCAGCUAUGUGUAAGUUUCAAGUCUUCCCAAGUCUUCAAUAGUAAUGUGAUUACGACUAAAUAGCAUAGUACCUAUAUCUAGUGGUUUUCUUGAUUGAAUUAACUCAGAGAAAGAAAACUAUAAUAUUGUCUCAUUACAUUAACUACAUGGCUAGUCUAGCCAAGCAUGGCAAAUUACAGAUCUUCGGGCAAACUUUGGCAAUUUAAAAGGUCUUGUUUAUAUUGAAGAUUUUUUGUAGAAAAAUUUUUACGUUUUUCGUGAUUUCAUUUUUCGGAUACUUUUUUAUCUCGCAUACAUCAAAUUGUUAUAGUAUAUUUUUUGCUUAAAAUUCAAAAAAUGAUGAUCUAAACGAGACCUAAGUAUGUGUAUAGACUAAUUGGCUAACUUCUUCAAAAUUUUUGUGUACUUGAUUUGGCGGAUUUAUUAUUCUAUCAAAGAGAUUCGAUGAACACGAUUAUGAUGUGCAUGGACACGAAGCUCACGAUCAAGGCUAAAUAAUCAGUUAAUUGCAACGAAAAUGUAGAUGUCUCUACAAUAUAUAUACACUAUUUCUUUACAACAUUAAUAUUCCCUUGAGUCCUACCCUUGUGUAAUACUAGUAUUAGUUUUGUGAACCAAUGUAAAAAAAAAAAAAACAAUAUAGUCAAAUAUCCUCUAGUAUUAGUUUCGCUUGAACAAUAGUCGUUUCUCUUACCCAAACAAGAGGACUAUAUAAUCCUAAUAUUCUAACAAUGAGAAAUAAAUUACUCCCUCCGUCUCAAUUAUUUUGUCAUGUUUCGAGAAUCCAAUAUUCUAAAAAUAGUGAUUUAAUUAUGAUGCUUGUAUUUUUUUUCUCAAUUUUACUCCCACAAAUUCAAAAUAUGAAUUUGAAUAAUAAUAUGUAUAUGCUUAAAGGGAGGAACUAUAUUGGAAGUAGAGACUAAAUAAUGUUUUAACUUUCUGAACAUUACAAAUACUUUGAGACAUUCCAAAAUGAAAAAUAUGACAUUUCUACGAAACGGAUGGAGUAAUUCGUACCGAACAAAAAGUCUAGCCAAAAUAUCCAAUACAUGAUGUGAUAGCUCAAUCUUCCUUAGGGCGUACGCUAAGGUUAGCGGAUUGUCUGCUCAACUCUCGUCAGGAUUAACUAAUCCAAAAUUUUCAGUAGGUAUUAAAACAAACAACAUAAUUUCAAAACACCGCAACCUAAAGUUAUAUACAAUUCAAGCUUAAAAUACAAGUUAAAAUAUUUAAUUUUAUACAAAUACAUAUAAGGUUUAUUAAUACAGAAGAGUUUAAACAAAAUGUCUAAGGUUUAAACCUAGCUCAACUCUUUCCCAAAAUCACCAACCCAAAUCUUUGCCCCUGAAAGGAAAACAAGGAUAACGGAAUGAGCUUUCGCCAAUGUGAUACCACAGGUUACGCAAUCAAAAAUCACAUAAUUCGAACUUUAAACUAUCAAAUAUAAGCACCAAUUAGGGAGAUAAGUAAACACCACAACUAACACAAAGUGCUUCAAAUAAAAAGAUACAGUUGGCUCUCAGGAGCCAAAUUCUCAAUCGCAUUAGUUUGAUCCAAAUCCGUUGACACUCCGUCAACGUUUACAGAAACAGAAAUAUUGACCGUAGAUCCCUGCUUUACACCAGUUUCCGUCUACCAAUCAUACCGUUACCUGGUCCAAACACCAAACAGAAACAGUGGUGGUAAUAUUCGAGUAUAUCAAAUAUCAGAAGAAUUCAAACUCUGAUACCACCUAUGACGACCCCACCUUCCCCUAGGACGUGGCCUAGAGGUUAGCGAACCACCUGCCCAACUCUUGCCAAGACUCACUCACUAACAUUAAUUUCAGAGAUCACAUUAACUCCAAAGUAAGCACGAAACUCUCUAAGAAAUGUUACAAAUCAUCCAACUUCAUAAAACAUCCAUACUUAGGUGGACAACUAAACAGAUCAAAAUACAAGUAGUUCAAUCAAAUCACUAAAUAUAAAUAGGAUGGCAUUUACUUAAAAUGAGGACUACAACUUUUCAACUCACUAUUUUUUGGAUAUCAAAUCAAUAACACCAUAAUUUUUCAAUAUAGCAUCUAUAAGCUACAAAUCGUCCAAAUACACAAAUCAAAGUACAAACCAAAAGAUAAGAACUUGAACAUCUAGUAUCAUAGUACAAUGUCAGCCAAAUACAAGUUUAAAAUUUCUAUUACAACUAGUACUAUUCUUGUCUCUUUCAUCCCCACACCCUGCUAAGGAAAACAAAUAAAGGGAUAAGGUAAAAAUCUAGUGAGGUUUCAAGUAUCAUGCAAGCAAAGUACCAAUCUUAGAGCAAGUAAGAAAAUGGUAACUAAAUAAAACAAUAACAAGCAACUAGGAAACAAGUAGCACUUUCAAAUCGAAGGAUACAUUUCCCUCAUAUUGGCUGCUUAACUCGUAAUCGUUGACAUUCCGUAAACCUUGGAAUACACUGUCAAGUCUAGUAGAUCACCACUUCACACCAUCUCCAACCACCGAUCAUCCGCCUUACCGAGCCAGCACGCCAAUCAAGUACAAGUGGGAUAAUACUCGAAUAUACCAAGGCCAAUAACAAGAUAUAAGACCCAUGGUUUAUCGGUCACCUUGACCAAAUCCUUACUGGCUCGAUUUGACCAACUAACCAAUGGGGAUGGGAUCCCAAAACAAGUAUAGUCGGUGAAAUAAUAACUCCAACCGGCUUUCAAGUCAUGCACGGAUAUAUCGGUUCACAAGUAAACAAGUCAACAAAAAUUCAAACAAGUUAGUUGAGUGCGAUAAAGUACACAUUCGCCUUUUCAAUAUCAAAUCAAGAUAUCUAGUAACAAGUCACAUAGUUCAAGUCAUGCAGUUGAAACACUCACCAAAAUAAAUGGACAAUCACAUCUCGAUUUUAGGAUUUUCUUAACUCACUACUGACUCUUGAAACACAUCCAAGCUAUAAUUACACUUAUCAUCUUGAUCAAAACAAGUAAAAAACACAGAAGAUCCAAUUUUAAAGUUAUCAAACGUGUAGGUUAAAAGGUAUAGGAUUUUGCAACCAAAUGCAUGAAUAUAAGUGUGAGGAUCAAAAACAACCUAAGAGGGGGGUGAAUUAGGUAGGUUGAAAAUUGGCCAAAUUAUGAGUCACUUUUUGAGUACUUGCCCUCUUUUUCUAAAAGACCACACAAUGGAGCAAUGAAUGAGAAAGCACAAGUGCUUAUGAGUAGAAGAGAUGAGCAAUUUAUUUAUCAAGAUAGAAAGUAAAAGAGAUAGAGUAUCAAGCCAAAUACCAAACUCCUCUUGAGUUUGAAUGUCACUUUAAAGAGCAAGCUUCUUCAAGUUGAUCAACUUACAACCAAUCUUUUGUGUACAAAGGAAGGAUCACUUCCUCCUUGCCCCAAGCCACACUUGGUCAAGCAAGGAAGUUUUACUAUUACUCGGAUAACCCUCACAGAGCUACACUUUAAAUGUUGUUCAGAAGAUUAAUGGCAAAGAAGUGGAUCUGUCCUUAAUUGGUAACCACAUUCACUGUUGGACGAUUUUGGCUUCAUUAAAAUCACACAUGUGAAGAGACCAAAUAAUGUACCUGCCCAUAUUAUGUCAAAAUUGGCUUUGUUUCUUGAAGAAAGUAGUGUUUGGUUUGUAAACUUUCCCAAGAUAGUAACUGAAGCUGCUCUUGCAGAUUUGGUACAAAUGAAUAUGUUUCUGUUGCUUCAAAAAAAAAAGAGCAAAUUUAAGGGAAAAAAAAACAACAACAACGACAAAGCAAUGGUACUUUUAUGAUUUAUCAAACGGCAAAGAAAACAAAGGUAUUAUGACCAAUCUAAUCAGCAUAAGCAGCAAUAUUGUCCAUUAUCUCUGCAACAAUCUCUUUAGACUCCCUCAGCAACUUGAUGCUUCUAUUCAAUCUGUAACGUUUAUCAGCAAUAGAUGGAGAUUCCUCCAGCAUCCGCUCCAAUCCACCCCCGUGAUGUCCUAUUAACUCAUUCACCAUUUUGGUUUCCAUGUCUUUGUUCACCAGCUUUUGGAUGCUGAAGAGUAAAUGCAAAGCCAUGCUAUCAACCAACCUCCUCAGAACAAUCUUCCAAUAAGCAAUCAUCCUCAUUUUCAGGUCAAAAGCUUGUUCUGCAACAACCAGAUGUUUUCUCAGAUGCCCGACUUCAACCUCACCAAUUCCAUUAAUCUCUAGAGUUGUUGUCUUCCAACGAUCAUUGAUAAUGUCCAUGAAUGUGUCCUGGCUUUCCAUCAGCUUAUGCCAGGUUGCAGUGUACUCAGGAUUACAAGUAUAAUCAGUGAGUUUCUCCAUUUCGAUGAUCUGCAGUACCCAAUCAAUUGACUGCUCCCUUUUUUCGGAAACAAGAUUUUGGGCAGCUCUUCUGAUUGAAGACUGAAGUUGUGGUAGUUUUCAGAGUGCUUCAUCAAGACAGGAACAAACACCCCUUGUAAAUACUCCCAAAACUGCUUCACAAAUUUAGCUGGUGUAGCAGAAAUGGCAUUGACCAUUUUUUGCAGUGAAGUGAGAAAAGCAGUGCGCUGAAGGAAAUUAGGUAAGCUUAUACCUUUAGCUUCCUCC
Molecule: long non-coding RNA, 37679 nt
Filed under: Coffea arabica (coffee)
Lineage: Eukaryota; Viridiplantae; Streptophyta; Magnoliopsida; Gentianales; Rubiaceae
Description: long non-coding RNA (CARA_LNC006464)
Source: RNAcentral